GUGGGGAAUAUUGGACAAUGGGCGCAAGCCUGAUCCAGCCAUGCCGCGUGAGUGAUGAAGGCCUUAGGGUUGUAAAGCUCUUUCACCGAUGAAGAUAAUGACGGUAGUCGGAGAAGAAGCCCCGGCUAACUUCGUGCCAGCAGCCGCGGUAAUACGAAGGGGGCUAGCGUUGUUCGGAUUUACUGGGCGUAAAGCGCACGUAGGCGGUUUGUUAAGUCAGGGGUGAAAUCCCGGAGCUCAACUCCGGAACUGCCUUUGAUACUGGCAAGCUAGAGUCCGGAAGAGGUAAGUGGAACUCCUAGUGUAGAGGUGGAAUUCGUAGAUAUUAGGAAGAACACCAGUGGCGAAGGCGGCUUACUGGUCUGGAACUGACGCUGAGGUGCGAAAGCGUGGGGAGCAAACAGGAUUAGAAACCCCGGUAGUCC
This 425-nucleotide ribosomal RNA is filed under the name uncultured bacterium. RNAcentral's name for it is "bacterial SSU rRNA". It matches the Rfam family "Bacterial small subunit ribosomal RNA", at positions 354 to 796 of the family's 1533-position model. The record is from RNAcentral.